GUUUAAAAACCACACUAUAUAAAUAAAAAAGUCAACCGGUUAAAAUACGAUUUACAUGGAGAUAGAAAUAGAGAGAGGGGAUGAGGGCGGGGACACGGAGAAAGAAACAGAGAAAGAGGCACAGUUCCUAAGGCAUCAAGAGAAAGAGAGUUCAUUGUGCGUUACAAUCAAAAGGGAAAGAUAGUAGAGUUCGUCGGAACCAUUCACCGAACAGCAAAAACAAUCCCCUUCACUCCAUAUUCGGAAGGUACGCAUUGAAUUUUUCUGGAACUUCUUACCGGCGAAGAGAGAAAUAUCUAAGGCUGGCCACCACCAUCAGUUUCCCCAUCACCGUCCGAUCCUUGCCAGAUUUAGACCACCAGAUCGCCAGAACCAACAUCGUCAAUGGGGAGAAGAAUUUAGAAAUUUCUCUGCAAGCAUUGCAAAUGAUUGAUAUUCAAGACUCACCAAAUUUGGGGAACUGCAGUUUUUUUGGUAUCUCCUUUCCUGUCAAUAAAAAAUGGCCCAAGAGAAGAUUACCCAUUUUCCAAUAAUACAGAAACAAAGUGGUAAGUUUAUCUCCUACUCUUCCUCUUCUCUUAUAGAUUACUCUUUUUCUCUAUUUUUGAAACCCAUAUUCCAAAGGGUCUGCUAUUUCUUUCCCAGUAUAAACCCGUAUAAUUCACAAAUUUUUCAGAAGAUGGAUGAUCAUGAAAGUGAGUAAAUAAUAGAAAUUCAAGAAUCAACAGUAUUAAAAUGGUUCGCAAAAUAUAAGAUACUUCCAGCUAGAACUAAUCAAUGCAACAACCAUAGGAAUUUAAAAGGUGUUCUUUAUUGGUCGUGUCAUCGCAUGCUUAGUAUUUUAAAAUUUUUAAUCCACUGGUAGCUUCUGAUUUGGCAUAGGAUUCUUCUGCAUUGUCAAGGAUACUUGGACACAACCUGUAUUUGGGGUCUAUUCUUCUUAUAGUGACCUAAGCCAGUCUUCAAUCAGCCAAAACUUUGAAACAAACACAUUCUUAGUUGGUGGCUUCAUAUUUUGUGGAUCUUAAAGAUUUGGUCGAGUGGUGGGUUAACUUUUAUCUCUCCUAAAGAGCUAUUUCCUGGCAGCAAAAGAAGAGGUCCAGGUCCUUCCUAACAACAUGCUCUUUGGUGGUACUUAAGUGUAAGGUUUGUCAAAGUGGUCGAGAAUUUUUUUAAAGUUAUUUCCAUAAUCUCACUUUAAUAGCAACAACUGGAUAAAUCUUAUUUCUUGCUGCCUGAGUGGUUAACAAUUGCACAUGGCCCAAAUGGGUGUUAAUUUGAAUGCUAUGUGAUUAGAGUUCAUUAAAAUUUAUAGUUAUGACAACUGGAAAAGUUAAGGAAGUAUUCAAUUUGACUCAGGAGUAUACUAGAGUGAGAUGACAAGACAAAAGGGUGCUGAACAACCUUGAGAAAACAUGUAAGAAUCUACAACCUAUUAAUAUUUUUUGUAAGAUCUACUUUCGACGGGUUUAAAAAUCUGCACCUAUUACAAAGAAUACAAUUUUUGUCUGGUGUAAAAUCAAUAUUUUUCAUUAACGCUAUGUUAGAUACCUACUUGAUUCUUUUUUUGUUCUUGAUUUAGUUUUGGUUGAUUGGAUGAGGUUUGAUCCUUCAGUAAUUUCAGAUUUUGUUUGUUCAUUUCUCCAAUGCAUUUUACUCAAUGAUUAUUUCUGUGUGAAAGAAACCUCUUUUGUAAAUAGAUCAACUGUUUCUCUGAUGUCAUAUGGCAAUUUGCUAUUUUUUUGGAACCUGUUUUGUGGUGGUUGAGUUUUGGAGUUGGUUAGCUAAAUCUUAUUUGCUAAUACAAUGUCAGUUGUGCCUUUUCUCUGCAUGUAAUUUGGUCUUUGCAUUAUGUGGGAGGCAUGUCUUUAUAUAAAAGAAGCUAGAUUACUUAUGAAACCAAUGCUUUCUCAACGUCCUAAUUUUUCACAAAGUCUGUCAGUGUCACAUGAAAAUUAUAAGCACUGCAACAUUGCUAUUUUUUUCCCCUAAUGACCAAAAGUGAAGUGCAAAUUCAGUGUGCAAAAAAAGGGAAAAAUCAUAACCAGCCUGGGAUUCUGCUUUCAGAGAUUUAAAGUCAGUUUGGUGUGAUCCUCAAUAGUCAAGUACUCUUUGUAAGCCUUUUGUUAUUUUGCUAUUGAAUUGUUAACAUUCUAAUGUAGGUUUAGACAAAUGGCUAUCUACUUAAGUUGGUCUCAAAGCUUAAGCAAACAAUGAUUUUAUCUGCAUUUGCAUCCCUUAAUGAUAAUUUGAAGAACAACAUGAAUUUCCUAAACAAGUGUAGAAAGAUCACAUGCUAGAUAGAACUAGACAGAAGGUAUACCAGUUGCGAGGAACUUUAGUCAUUUUAUAUUCUUCAAUAGAUGGGGAAAUUCAAACAUUGCAACUGUGUACUAGAGAUUGAGAAAGAGUGGCAACAGGAGAACUUACAAAUUGUGAUUUAAGGUUUUAAACUUACCUUAUCUGAUUUAAUAUAAUUCCACCUGUUUUUUAAAAGAAUUGAAUCAAUAAAACUUUCAGAAAUUGUUGUUUCCUUUGAGACACGAGUUUAAUAAUAUGAACAAUUUUGAAGAAACCUUUACUCUUUUGCUAUGGAAUUGUUGUUUUAAAUUUUAAUACAUUAUCCUUUCUUAUUUAUCCAUUUUUAUGAAUUUAGUUUCUUGCUCUUUUCAUGUUUGGUGCAUCUUAAUUUGUUAUAAUAUUUUUCUGUCUUGGAGAGUUAGUCAUGUUAUUCAAGUGUGUUCCACUACAGUCACUACGUACUUCCUCAUGUUUGUAAGAUUUCAACUUUGUCCUUAUUAUAUGUAUUUUAAAAUUUUAUGAAUUGACAUUUAAUGUGAUUUUUCUCUUUAGUUAAAUAUGGAUGAUAGAAAAAGUUUAAGCAAACGUGAAGAUGGGAGACAUACUUAGGUUUAUGGUGGCCGAUUGUUUCAACAAUUGCAUGUUGGUGCACAUACAAGUAUAAAAGAAAAUUGACUUAUGCGGGUGAGGUGUAACCAAUGUAUAUUACAAAGGUGAUUGCAGGUAUUUUAAAUUAAUUAUUGUUACUUUUUUUUUCCUUUAUGAUUUAUAUGUAUAAAUAUAACCAAGCUAAUAUAUUACAUUCACUUUUUAUGUGUAUAACUAUAACAAAGCCAUCUUAGAAUAUUUAUCAUAUCAUGUAAUUUGUUUUUCUUAUUUAUUGGAUUUUCCUUGGUCAAGAUUGAACUUGCAUUAUGUAAGCUUUUCUAGGUUUAGGAAUAUUUUUUAUAUUGGCUGAUGAUAUUUUUGAUAUGUUUAGCCGAUGAAGAAAUUACGAGAUUAAACGCAAUGUUCAAAGGCAUGAUUGUUGACAACUUUGGGCUUACAAGAUUUAGAGAUGAAGCAUGAAGUCAUUAAUUAUUAUUUUUGGAUAAGUGCAUUUCUUUAUUUCUAUUACUUAUAUGUAUUGUUGUACUAUGCAUUUUGUAUUAUUUAAACUAACAACAAAACACACUUACUGAUUUCUUUAUAAACUGUAUACUAUAAUGCAUUCGUUGAAUAUUAUAAAUGUUAUUUUGAACUUUGAAUAUGAUGCAAGAAAUCUACUUGAGAAAAAUAGUUUGUUUCCA
Molecule: long non-coding RNA, 3590 nt
Organism: Quercus robur (English oak)
Lineage: Eukaryota; Viridiplantae; Streptophyta; Magnoliopsida; Fagales; Fagaceae
Exons: 2
Source: RefSeq, a predicted model, not a curated record